Molecule: ribosomal RNA, 461 nt
Filed under: Acremonium sp. AC2
Lineage: Eukaryota; Fungi; Ascomycota; Sordariomycetes; Hypocreales; Bionectriaceae
Description: eukaryotic LSU rRNA
Rfam family: 5.8S ribosomal RNA (bases 133-286)
Source: RNAcentral
UGUGAACCUACCACUGUUGCUUCGGCGGCCUCGCCCCGGGCGCGUUCGCGCGGCCCGGACCCAGGCGUCCGCCGGGGGCUCCAAACUCUUGUCUUUUAGUGUAUUUCUGAGUGGCAUAAGCAAAUAAAUCAAAACUUUCAGCAACGGAUCUCUUGGUUCUGGCAUCGAUGAAGAACGCAGCAAAAUGCGAUAAGUAAUGUGAAUUGCAGAAUUCAGUGAAUCAUCGAAUCUUUGAACGCACAUUGCGCCCGCCAGUAUUCUGGCGGGCAUGCCUGUCUGAGCGUCAUUUCAACCCUCAGGACCCGUUCGCGGGACCUGGCGUUGGGGAUCAGCCUGCCCCUGGCGGCGGCUGGCCCUGAAAUCCAGUGGCGGUUCCCUCGCGAACUCCUCCGUGCAGUAAUUAAACCUCUCGCGGCAGGAUAGCGGUUGAACCACGCCGUUAAACCCCCCACUUCUCAAGG